RNAcentral lists this ribosomal RNA (397 nucleotides) under uncultured bacterium. Its description in RNAcentral is "partial 16S ribosomal RNA". It matches the Rfam family "Bacterial small subunit ribosomal RNA", at positions 523 to 918 of the family's 1533-position model. The record is from RNAcentral.
AUACGUAGGGGGCGAGCGUUGUCCGGAAUGAUUGGGCGUAAAGGGCGCGUAGGCGGCCCGGUAAGUCUGGAGUGAAAGUCCUGCUUUUAAGGUGGGAAUUGCUUUGGAUACUGUCGGGCUUGAGUGCAGGAGAGGUAAGUGGAAUUCCCAGUGUAGCGGUGGAAUGCGUAGAGAUUGGGAGGAACACCAGUGGCGAAGGCGACUUACUGGACUGUAACUGACGCUGAGGCGCGAAAGUGUGGGGAGCAAACAGGAUUAGAUACCCUGGUGGUCCACACUGUAAACGAUGAAUGCUAGGUGUAGGGGGUAUCGACCCCUUCUGUGCCGCAGUUAACACAAUAAGUAUUCCGCCUGGGGAGUACGGCCGCAAGGUUGAAACUCAAAUGAAUUGGCGGGG